This 253-nucleotide ribosomal RNA is filed under the name uncultured bacterium. RNAcentral's name for it is "partial 16S ribosomal RNA". It matches the Rfam family "Bacterial small subunit ribosomal RNA", at positions 524 to 776 of the family's 1533-position model. The record is from RNAcentral.
UACGGGGGGGGCAAGCGUUGUUCGGAAUUACUGGGCGUAAAGGGCGCGUAGGCGGCCUGCUAAGUCACACGUGAAAUCCCUCGGCUCAACCGGGGAACUGCGUGUGAUACUGGCGGGCUUGAAUUCGGGAGAGGGAUGUGGAAUUCCAGGUGUAGCGGUGAAAUGCGUAGAUAUCUGGAGGAACACCGGUGGCGAAGGCGGCGUUCUGGACUGCUACUGACACUGAGGAACGAAAGCCAGGGGAGCAAACGGG